RNAcentral lists this ribosomal RNA (446 nucleotides) under uncultured bacterium. Its description in RNAcentral is "bacterial SSU rRNA". It matches the Rfam family "Bacterial small subunit ribosomal RNA", at positions 330 to 792 of the family's 1533-position model. The record is from RNAcentral.
GCCAGACUCCUACGGGAGGCAGCAGUGGGGAAUAUUGCACAAUGGGGGAAACCCUGAUGCAGCAACGCCGCGUGAAGGAAGACGGUUUUCGGAUUGUAAACUUCUGUUCUUAGUGAAGAAUAAUGACGGUAGCUAAGGAGCAAGCCACGGCUAACUACGUGCCAGCAGCCGCGGUAAUACGUAGGUGGCAAGCGUUGUCCGGAAUUACUGGGUGUAAAGGGAGCGCAGGCGGGAAGCCAAGUCAGCUGUGAAAACUACGGGCUUAACUUGUAGACUGCAGUUGAAACUGGUUUUCUUGAGUGAAGUAGAGGUUGGCGGAAUUCCGAGUGUAGCGGUGAAAUGCGUAGAUAUUCGGAGGAACACCGGUGGCGAAGGCGGCAUGCCGGCUCCACACUGACGCUGAGGCACGAAAGCGUGGGUAUCGAACAGGAUUAGAUACCCGUGUA